RNAcentral lists this ribosomal RNA (1918 nucleotides) under Salmonella enterica subsp. enterica serovar Typhi. Its description in RNAcentral is "partial 23S ribosomal RNA". It matches the Rfam family "Bacterial large subunit ribosomal RNA", at positions 1 to 1921 of the family's 2925-position model. Lineage: Bacteria; Pseudomonadati; Pseudomonadota; Gammaproteobacteria; Enterobacterales; Enterobacteriaceae. The record is from RNAcentral.
GUUGAUAAGGUUAAGUGAAUAAGGGCGCACGGUGGAUGCCUUGGCACUAGGAGCCGAUGAAGGACGGGACUAACACCGAUAUGCUUUGGGGAGCUGUACGUAAGCUAUGAUCCAGAGAUUUCCGAAUGGGGGAACCCAGCAUCUUUAAUAGGAUGUUACGAUUGUGUGAAUACAUAGCACAUUCGAGGUAGACGCAGAGAACUGAAACAUCUAAGUACCUGCAGGAAGAGAAAGAAAAUUCGAUUCCCUGAGUAGCGGCGAGCGAAACGGGAAAAGCCCAAACCAACAAGCUUGCUUGUUGGGGUUGUAGGACUCCAAUAUGGUCGUUCUUUCAGAUAGUCGAAUGACUUGGAAAAGUCAGUCAAAGAGGGUAAAAACCCCGUAGACGAAAUGUGGAAGACACCUAGGAGGAUCCUGAGUACGGCGGAACACGAGAAAUUCCGUCGGAAUCCGGGAGGACCAUCUCCCAAGGCUAAAUACUCCCUAGUGACCGAUAGUGAACCAGUACCGUGAGGGAAAGGUGAAAAGCACCCCGGAAGGGGAGUGAAAUAGAACCUGAAACCGUGUGCCUACAACAAGUCAAAGCCCGUUAAUGGGUGAUGGCGUGCCUUUUGUAGAAUGAACCGGCGAGUUACGAUUGCAUGCGAGGUUAAGUUGAAGAGACGGAGCCGCAGCGAAAGCGAGUCUGAAUAGGGCGUUUGAGUAUGUAGUCGUAGACCCGAAACCAUGUGAUCUACCCAUGUCCAGGUUGAAGGUGCGGUAAAACGCACUGGAGGACCGAACCCACGUACGUUGAAAAGUGCGGGGAUGAGGUGUGGGUAGCGGAGAAAUUCCAAACGAACUUGGAGAUAGCUGGUUCUCUCCGAAAUAGCUUUAGGGCUAGCCUCGGAAUUGAGAAUGAUGGAGGUAGAGCACUGUUUGGACUAGGGGCCCAUCUCGGGUUACCGAAUUCAGAUAAACUCCGAAUGCCAUUCAUUCAUAUCCGGGAGUCAGACUGUGAGUGAUAAGAUCCAUAGUCGAAAGGGAAACAGCCCAGACCACCAGCUAAGGUCCCAAAAUAUAUGUUAAGUGGAAAAGGAUGUGGGGUUGCACAGACAACUAGGAUGUUGGCUUAGAAGCAGCCACCAUUUAAAGAGUGCGUAAUAGCUCACUAGUCGAGUGACCCUGCGCCGAAAAUGUACCGGGGCUAAACAUAUUACCGAAGCUGUGGAGUACACCUUUAGGUGUAUUGGUAGGAGAGCGUUCUAAGGGCGUCGAAGGCAGAUCGUGAGGACUGCUGGAGCGCUUAGAAGUGAGAAUGCCGGUAUGAGUAGCGAAAGACAGGUGAGAAUCCUGUCCACCGAAUGACUAAGGUUUCCUGGGGAAGGCUCGUCCGCCCAGGGUUAGUCGGGACCUAAGCCGAGGCCGAUAGGCGUAGGCGAUGGAUAACAGGUUGAUAUUCCUGUACCCGUUGUUUUUGUUUGAGCAAUGGAGGGACGCAGGAGGCUAAGGAAUGCAGACGAUCGGAAAUGUCUGUCCAAGCAGUAAGUCUGAAGAGGAGUCAAAUGCUUCUUUUCUUAAGGACAAGCUGUGAUGGGGAGGGAAAUAAUAGUACCGAAGUUCCUGAUGUCACACUGCCGAGAAAAGCUUCUAGUGAGAAAACAGCGGCCCGUACCGCAAACCGACACAGGUAGUCGAGGAGAGAAUCCUAAGGUGAGCGAGAGAACUCUCGUUAAGGAACUCGGCAAAAUGACCCCGUAACUUCGGGAGAAGGGGUGCUGAUCAUACGAUCAGCCGCAGUGAAUAGGCCCAAGCGACUGUUUAUCAAAAACACAGGUCUCUGCAAAAUCGUAAGAUGAAGUAUAGGGGCUGACGCCUGCCCGGUGCUGGAAGGUUAAGAGGAGUGCUUAGCGCAAGCGAAGGUACGAAUUGAAGCCCC